RNAcentral lists this long non-coding RNA (487 nucleotides) under Lynx pardinus (Iberian lynx). Lineage: Eukaryota; Metazoa; Chordata; Mammalia; Carnivora; Felidae. The record is from RNAcentral.
AGCUGGACUCAGUUUAGAUGAUCCCAAUUUUGUUGGCAGCAUCCAAAGCAUCACAGUCAGGAGCCAGUCGAACAUAUGCUUUCUUUUCUCCAUCGGGCCUGAUCAGAGUGUUGACCUUGGCCACGUCAGUGUCAUAGAGCUUCUUCACAGCCUGUUUGAUCUGGUGCUUGUUGGCCUUGACAUCCCCAACGAACACAAGUGUGUUGUUUUCUGUUUUCUUCAUGGCUGGCUCAGUAGUCACGGGGAAAGACUGGUCAAGCUUGUUUCUCCUGGGGGCUCUGUUAACGAGGAUAUUCGGGUUGCCUUUGGAGACGCGGUGUCUUGAGCCACUGGAAUGUAGGUGAUGUGCGGAUCUCCUUUGUUUUAAUGCCCCUGGAUGCCUUUCCGUACUGCUUUCUUGGCCUUCAAAGCCUUUACUUUGGCUUCAGCAUUGGGAGGGGCAGGGGCUUCCUUCUUCACCUUAGGUGCCAUCUUCGUGAAAGGGCUC